Molecule: small nucleolar RNA, 72 nt
Organism: Jaculus jaculus (lesser Egyptian jerboa)
Lineage: Eukaryota; Metazoa; Chordata; Mammalia; Rodentia; Dipodidae
Gene: Snord61
Product: small nucleolar RNA, C/D box 61
Source: Ensembl
GCUGUGAUGAAUUUGAAUUCAUUGAUCAUCUGAUAUGAUAAUUUAUUUUGUCCUCUAAGAAGUUCUGAGCUU